RNAcentral lists this RNase P RNA (353 nucleotides) under Balneolaceae bacterium. RNAcentral describes it as "RNase P RNA component class A". It matches the Rfam family "Bacterial RNase P class A". From Rfam's summary of the family: Ribonuclease P (RNase P) is a ubiquitous endoribonuclease, found in archaea, bacteria and eukarya as well as chloroplasts and mitochondria. The record is from RNAcentral. Lineage: Bacteria; Pseudomonadati; Balneolota; Balneolia; Balneolales; Balneolaceae.
CAGGGAAACCGGGUAAUCGCUCUUCAGUGUUGAAGGGAGGAAAGUCCGGACACCAACAAGUACCGCGCUCCCCGAUUCGGUUCAGCCGGCGAAGGGGAGGCUUGGUAGCAGGAAUGCUGCCAUGACAGACAGUGCAACAGAAAACAAACCGCUCUGGUGUUCAACACCGGAGUAAGGGUGAAAAGGUGAGGUAAGAGCUCACCGCCCCAAGGGCGACUGCGGGGGCACGGUAAACCUGGCGGGGUGCAAGUUCAUGCAGAUGGUAUACGCCGCUUGUCGUGACGCCAUCGGGUGGAACGCAACAGACAAAUGAUUACCCUCGACAAAAUCCGGCUUACAGGUUUCCCUGCCGA